GCACCCCCAAUUCCCAAAAAGAAACACAACUGCAACUCAGCCCCAAAACUCAUGCUCCUCCGCAUCUUGUAGCUCGAAAAACCCAGGUGAAGCAUCAUCCUUUCAUUAACCAAAGACUCCCUAAACUCCGUUGAAACUCAGCCCUAAAGCUCAGCAAAAUCCAAGUGAAAAAGAGAAGCAAAACCAGCUCAAAAUAACCGAAAAUAACCUCAAAAUAAGCCGGAGCUCAGCCUCCUCGUUUUGGUUUAGUUCGAGUUUUCCGACGAGCUUCGAGGCUAUCGG
This 282-nucleotide long non-coding RNA is filed under the name Nicotiana benthamiana. RNAcentral's name for it is "long non-coding RNA (NBEN_LNC039314)". The record is from RNAcentral. Lineage: Eukaryota; Viridiplantae; Streptophyta; Magnoliopsida; Solanales; Solanaceae.